This is a long non-coding RNA of Chrysemys picta bellii (western painted turtle), 5108 nucleotides long. RefSeq lists it as uncharacterized. The record is from RefSeq and is a predicted model, not a curated record. Lineage: Eukaryota; Metazoa; Chordata; Testudines; Emydidae.
AAAUUUUUUUGAUACACAUAUAGAUUAACUUUUUUUUUGCUAAAAUGAAAAUUGUUUAAAAUGUCACCAAUUCCCCCUCCCCCCAAAAAGUUCUGUUUUUACAAAAGGCCAUUUUUAUGAGAAAUUUCCAUGCACAAAAAUUUCAGCUCUGGUUCAUCUUUUUCGUUGGUGUGUGUGUGUGCGCGCGCAUGCUUAAAGCGUGUUGAAAGUGGGGAAAAAAUGACAUUCCCUGUAUGCGUAAGGGAAUGAGUUAAGGUUGUGCAUGCAGCCUUGACUUCCUGGCUUCAGCGUGGUAUGCCAUGCAACUUUAAUCUUCUAUUAAUGCACUUAUGUAUGCAAUAUAGUGUAUAUAAAUACAAGGGGACCUGUGGGUUUUACUAAAAAUGAUGGUUUUGCCCUGAGGCUUUUUAUCCCAGUUGAAAAAGAGUCAGGAAACAGGUCAAGCUCAUGGCACAUGUGUAUGCAUAUGCACAUUUGCAUUACACGUCACAUCUAUGUCUUGCCUAUCUAUAAAAGACAUUACCUCACCCACGUUGUCUCUCUCGUAGUCUGGGACCAACACCAUCCAUCCACUGGCUAGUAUCUGAGCACAUCUGCUCUACACUUCUUAGCUGACAAUGAAAUGUACAAGACUCCUAACACACCAAACACUUAUAAGACUGGGAUUCAUUACAGUACCUUCUUCAUCAGUGGAGAAGAAGAUUGGUGUGAUUUGUUCAUGGCAGACAAUGCAAAUUAAUAGUCUAACUUUAGGCCUACCAGUUUUCACAAUGUCCCUUAACGUAUCAGAUUAUAUUUAAUUACUACUAUUACCACAAUAAGGGAAGCUCUGUAGGGAAGCUAAACUGUAUGUUUAGCAGAAGGUCUAGAGUAAACAGUACUGUUAGCACAGGUAGGUUGAGUUGGACUUUUGAGAACAUUUGGAGAAGGUUUUCAACCUAUUCCAUGUAUGUUUUUGUUCCUGGUUUCCUGUUUCUCUCUCUGGCACUCUCCCUCUAGUGAGGAUAGCAAAAAUAUGACUAGGAAAGUAUUGCUAUAAUGGGUAUGUAAGGGGCUUCCUCAUUCCCUCGCCCCAAAGAAUAAAACAUUUUGCCAGUGUAGAACUUGCAAUCUCUCGUAAGCCUGAGGUGACUGGGAAAGGUUGUGUGCAAUCUGUCUAGCUCAUGAAGCUCUGAGAUCAGUAGUAUGACAAACCUGGCUGUGCACUGUCAGACAUUCAUGGAAGGCUCACACACUUACUAUGCAUUUCCUUUAGCAGCCACUGUAUGUCACGUCUGGGAUCUAUGAAUCUGUUGGAAGAUAUUUACCGCCUGUUUCAAAAUGCAAGUGCAAGGCAGAUGAAAUUAAUUAGACAUUUCAUUUUUCUGCUUUGCUAUCUAAAAUUUCAAAUGGAGGCCGACAGAGGAUACAUUUCCCUCCGUAUAAAAUGUAUAGGUUAUAUUAUGAGUAGCCUAAACAUUAGUACACGGUACAGUGUCAGCUUACAUAAUAAAACAGGGAUUGCAAUAAUCCUGCAUAAAGUCUACUUUGUAUGUUGAGAAGUAUUAUGCAGCAGGGUCCAACAUGAAAAGAAUCAUGUCUCUUAUUCCACCACUCUGGCCAAGUACCACGUUGUCUUUACUGGAAGACUAGUGUUCAUCAUGUGUUUAAAACUAAGAGUGGGAGAAGUUGGGACAUAACAUUCUUGGGAGAUGACACUAUAAAUAAUACUGCCUUGCUUUGCCUUUGUGUAGCUAGUACAUCUGGAAUAUUAUAGUGUGAGCAGAGAGAGCAUGCUAUAGUUAAGGUUGAGUUCCAGCUUCUAUUUAAUGUCCCUUUUUUCAGCUUUUCAUAACUUUCUCAAACAAGUAGGCUAGACAAAUAGACUCUAAACUAGGAGACAUGCUCAUCAGGAUUCAAAAUUCCUCUCUGCCUAUUCCCCCUUUGGAGAGAUACUCGUCAAUAGGAGUCAAGCCAACAGCUCUACAUCAAGGAAUGUACAAUUUCCACAAGUGUAUAGUGUUGGAUCAAGAAAAUUACAGGCUCUGGCAGCUAUAGGGCUCUGAUUUUUCCCCUGUUCCUCUCUUUUAGUAAGCAAAUAAUCAAGGACAUUCCAUGCAAAAACGUAGGUAGAUAAGAAUGGACUUUAUAGAAUGCAGACUGGAAGCUCCUCUUCAUUUAGAGAGAAACAUAAAUGUUGGUAUAUGCCUGGCUCAAUGCGUGUGUGUGUGCAUGGGCACACAUGCAGGUUAGUGACUUUUUGAUUUCUACAUACAAGAAUCACAUACAUUAUAGCAAUGCUGUUAUUCUAAAGGUGUCACAUCUCAUGCCAGGAUUCUUGUUUUCCUCUGUCCACUGUGUUUCAGUGGUUACAUUAGAGACCGGACACUUUUUUUUCAAAGAGAUGGUUAUGGUUUUUACCCACAAUGAUGUUUUUAGUGGCUUGUAUUUCUGAUGUAUGCUAAGUCACUGCACUGCAUGUGAGAAAUGUUUUUCAGUAACUGGGCUGGCAGGUCUAUAGUCUCAGUCAAGGGUGACUGGCAUGAGCCAGACAUUUCUGGUGUCCACGGUGUCUGUCCUGGAACCCUUGCAAACUUUGAAGACCAAUGUUAUCACUGUUAGGCUGAGGUGGAUACUGACGUGAGCUCUGGUACACAGGAACUGGGCAGAGGCCAUUUAGUUGAAAGAUGCUAGUGAGAUCUUUUAUCAAAGGAAACAAAUGGCAUAAUAACAAUGUUUUUGUUAAUUUCUCACAAGUACUUUAUGGCUCCAUGGAAAGUGGAACGUUGACAAAAAUCUUGAAAACAGUCAGGACUUCAUAAUAAAUUGCAAUGGUGAAAAUAUUUAUUUUUUUCCUUUGGUGAAGUCCCUUUUCUUUGGGAACAUUUUCUUCGUGGUUCAGCAGGACAUGGAGGCUGAUGGUGCAUGAAAACAUAUCACAUUGGUGAGUAUACUUUGCAGCAAAAUCAGUACAAAGAAUGUCCAAACCUUUUGUUUCCUUACCACAUUGCUCCCUUACUUUUCUUUCUUUCAUCUGUUUCCCAGGCUUGCCUCCCCCACAAGCAGGCAGUUCUAGAAAAGAGUAAAAGGAUCCAACCAGUAAACAGAGACCUUAAAAACUGAGGCUAGAAAUGAGAAGGGAAUUUCCCUUUACAUUGUAAGGUUCUUUGAUGUUCUGAAGUUCCACUGAAAUGGUAACACUUCAAAACUUGGUAAGCAGGGAAGCACUAAUGGUGAAGUUCAGGAGCAGGCAGGGGACUGAGAGAAAAUUAGUUAUUGCUGAGUCUGCCCAAAAUGCAGAGAGAGAGACUAAACAAUAGAAAAACCCUCACUACGCUGUGGUGGGAAGUGAAGGGGUGUGUGUAUAUAAGACUGAGAGAGACAGUGAGAGAGACUAAGUGUUUCUUACGGUCCCUCAUCAAUUGGAGGAGGAUAGAAGAAAGGGUGACCAUAUGACACACGUGCCAGCCCUGCUCCCACAUUCCUGUCCUGAGGUUCCUCUUAAUAGGUAUAUAAGGUUUUGCACAUUUUGUACUGCAGAUCCAAGUAUGUAUGAAGAGCUUUUAAAACCAGACUAUGGAUUCUGUUUAAAGGAAAGCUCACAUGACAUAAUAGCAACAGUGACAAAUCGAACGAGAGAGAACAUAUUUGAGAGAGUUUAUCAAACAAGAGGAUGAGGUGGGUAGGAAGUUUAUGUAACCCAUGUGCCUAAUAGGGAGAUAUCGCUUUCAGAGACCUAUGUGGAGGAUAGGAGUGAGUUGUGUCUGGGUUAUUAUUGCUAGGCAGGAGGGAUAGCUCAGUGGUUUGAGCAUUGGCUUGCUAAACUCAGAGUUAUGAGUUCAAUCCUUGAGGAGACCAUUUGGGGAUUGGCUCCUGCUUUGAACAGGGGUUUGGACUAGAUGACCUGUUGAGGUCAAUUCUAUUAGCCAUCCAGAAGCCUCUGGAUUUUGGGUGGGGUAAUUUGGGGUAUGCUUCAACAGACUCCAUAAGGGUAGCUGCUUUACAAAGGGCCAUCUGUGAGUUGGGAGAAGCUGAGCCAAGGAGCAGAAAGCAGGCUGUUGUCCCUAACUCUGAAGCAUUUUGCAGCAGGUUAGUGAUAUUGUUAACCCUCAAACAGGGAAACAUGGGCAAUGUUAAUAAUAGCAAGGGGAAAUUAGAAGGGAAAAAUAAUUUAUUCUAUUUUAAUUGUAUGCUUUGAAUGUUGUUUUGAUUUUAGCCAAACUGUUCUAGUUAAAUUGUCUCAACUAGUGUGAUUCAUCAACUUUCCUUUAAAUGUAGUAAUGGGGAAAGAGUCAUUUAUAUUUUGUUAUUCUCAGAUUUGUAUUUUCUUGUAACAGGGUUUUUUUUUUUAAUCUACACUUAACUGAUUAAUCAGUUAGCUGACUGGCUAACAGUGAUUUCAGAAGAGGAAGGGUCUGCAUGGAUUCCAAUUGAAGAUUCCUACAAGCAAGUAGAGGGAAGAUGUUGUUUUUUGACUCCGCAGACUAGAUUUGGUGAUCAAAGACUCUAACUGAGAUUCAGGGCUUGUUUACAUGGUAGAUCACUGUGCGGCAAUGUGAAUCUACAGUGCACUGGCUCACCGUGCAGUAAUGUUCUGUGUGGACACUGUUUUGAAAGACCAAGUGCAGCUUGACAUACAAUACUUUCAAGUAUUUUUCCAUAAGCAGGAGAAUGCUAUCCUCGUGCCCUGAUGACUUUCAUACCUCAGGAGUUUGGUCCUCCAUGAGAGCGUUCCUCCUAAGUGAUGGUGAGAUCCAGUCUCUGGUGCCCUUGAAGAAGACUUGGUUUUCAUUUUAAAAAUGAAAACCAUGUUUCUAGCCACUUCCCUGGGCUGCACUUCUCUAGGAUGAAGCUGGUGGUUUAGCAACCUGAAUGGAACUUGGAGAGAGGAGCACAGGUUGCAGGAGGGAAGAGUUUGGAGAAAGCACCAAGAAGUCACUCUGUGUGUACAUGGCUGGAAUGCUAACUGCAGUUGGGGCACCUCUGUAAGUUGUUCUCUUAAUAAAGAACCAGUUUAGUUUUAGAAACAAUGUCAUUUCAUGUUAUUACCAGGUAUGUGGUACAUGAAACAAAGGGAGCUAAAGAUAUGUACACACUCACACACUUUUUAUGUGAAGGAAUCAGCUAUG